UACGUAGGUGGCAAGCGUUAUCCGGAUUUAUUGGGCGUAAAGAGAACGCAGGCGGUCUUUUAAGUCUGAUGUGAAAGCCUUCGGCUUAACCGGAGUAGUGCAUUGGAAACUGGGAGACUUGAGUGCAGAAGAGGAGAGUGGAACUCCGUGUGUAGCGGUGAAAUGCGUAGAUAUAUGGAAGAACACCAGUGGCGAAAGCGGCUCUCUGGUCUGUAACUGACGCUGAGGUUCGAAAGCGUGGGUAGCAAACAGG
RNAcentral lists this ribosomal RNA (253 nucleotides) under uncultured bacterium. RNAcentral describes it as "partial 16S ribosomal RNA". It matches the Rfam family "Bacterial small subunit ribosomal RNA", at positions 524 to 776 of the family's 1533-position model. The record is from RNAcentral.